This 1433-nucleotide long non-coding RNA is filed under the name Sus scrofa (pig). RNAcentral's name for it is "lncRNA (ENSSSCG00015041218.1)". The record is from RNAcentral. Lineage: Eukaryota; Metazoa; Chordata; Mammalia; Artiodactyla; Suidae.
GAGUUUCUUCCUCUCAUCGGAGAAUUCUGGCUUCUCCAUUUCUGACAAGAUGAUUCAAAGCAAAAGUGGACUUGUCAGAGACAGGAAGGGAAGAUAAGAUAAAAAUAAAAAGUUAGCCAGACUUAGAAGUUUUUCUGGCCUUAGUUCCUGCUCUCUCUCUCCCCUCCAACAUUUGCAUUCUUGCAAACAAAAAUCCCACAGCAAAGCCCAGAAGGGGGGCCCAGGCCUUAGGCUCCAGGUCAAGGCCUGAGGGCAGUGGAGGAAGUGAUUCAGGGCCCCCCGGGGGAUGGAGGAGCUGGAGGCUGGGGCCAGGACACAGGGCUGCGGGCAGCGGGUCAGCCUCAGUCCGGCUCGCAGUGCCCCUGCCCCCAUUCACCCACAGGCAGGCCAGCCCGGAGCCAGAGACGGGUGACUGAUGGGUCCCAGCUUGAAUGGAAAGUCCAGAUUCCAGGGAGACAGCCUAAGAGGGUCAUCGGAGCAGAUAGAGAUCAGACUCCUGUUGCAGGGGGAGUUCUCUGAGCUGCUGUGGCAGAGGCUUGGAGGACAUUCAAUGCUGGACUCUUAUUCUUGGAUGGAUUUACUUUGGAGAAUAACCUCAUCCACCUCUGAGAGAGGAAGCACCAGCCCAUUACUGUCCCACUGUGAAUGACCCUAAGGGUUGUUUCCUAGUUUAUCUGGACCAGAAGCACACAGAAUCUUGACUGUACCUUCAACAGUUAGGAAAAAACAAAACAAAACAAAACAAACAAACAAACAAAAAAAACAAGCAUGGAAAACAAGCUCUCAAAGGAAGUAUGAAUGAGAACUUUAAGUGUCAACAUCAUCCUUUAAUCAAUGUUGAAUACUCCUCCUCCUCUGGCAGUAAUAUACUUUGAAGUGGAGCUGGAAGGAAGUAACUCUUUCUGAUUUUCUGGGACUGUGCCCAUGCGAGACAUCACUAAUCAAACCCAGCAUGCCUUCUUCCUGACGGAAGCUUCUCCUAGGAGUGCAGNACAGAAUUAAUGAGGAUAACCCAGUAGCUGGUCGGGUAUGCUUUUGUAGAAUCAUCAGCUACUAUGGAAAAACAAUUUGAAUAGUCAGUGUCAAAUUUUUGGUUCAGAAGUAGGUCUUCAUUUGGACCUUAGAUAAUUGGUUGGGUUACUAUAAAAACCCACUAGAGGGUGGGGAAGGGCAUUUAGGAUAGAAGAAGGCAUAGUUCAAGGGAAGGCAAGGUGAUGGGAAAGAGAAUGCUGACAGCGAUUCCUUCAUUCCCCUCAGUCCAUCCUUGAGGAUACACACACUGGGAGAAAUUUCAAAAGCAGUGUCUAGUUCUGGGGGUGGGGGGAGGGAAGUGCAGCUUUUGUGCAUGUGCUUCCAUGGGGUCUAGUGCCUCUUAGAAUUAAUUCUCUGUUCUUAUUGCAGGUUGUUUCCUAGUUUAUCUGGACCAGAAGCAC